AUUUAUUAAAAAUAGUCACUUUAUUAAAUAAUGUGAGAAACUAUAUUUUUUGCGAACAGACUUGAAGAUGAAUUAUGAAAGGGUGUGACAAGUAUCAGUAAUGCAGUAAGACGCAGAGGUAGAGCAAGAAGAGUAAUGAAAAGAGAGAGCUCCUAAAUAAGGAGCAAAUUAAUGUCAUGGGAAAAAUUCCGAUACAAUUUCCUGGUCUAAACACUCCUGUGUUUAGAAGAAAAGAAUUAAUUCAACAGCAAAAACUUAUGGAAUUACCACAAAGUUAGACCAGACCAAUGCAAAUAAAAUUAUCGCCAUUGGAAUGUGGUUGGACGAGUAUUACAAUGGAUGGCAGAAGCAUUGAAUCAGAUCUUAUUGGAAAAGAUACAUUUGAAAGUUUUGAAACCCGGAUUUUGGAAAACAAAAUAAUAACUUGUAUGACCGGUAAUUUAGCACGUAGGACUAGAAUCAGUUCAUUUAUAGUAACUGGAAAUGGAUUAGCUGGAUUUGCGUUAUCAAAAGCCAAAGCAUCCCUAAAGACGGUUAAAAAUAGGGCUGGUCAAAGACUAAUGUAUAUUCCUACAUAUAAGGAAUACACUGUGUUACAUGAUUUCUUUACACAGUUUGAGAAUAUAAAAAUAUUUGUAAAGAAAAUUCAUGAAGGAUAAUGGGCUUGUUUGUCAUCAUGCGAUAAAAGCGUGUUGCGAGAUAAUUGGCAUAAAGGAUAUGUAUGCCAAAGUACAAGGAGGAAUGUAAAAGCAUUCUUUGGUUGAUUUAUUGCAAUAGAUAUUUCUAUU
This 788-nucleotide unclassified non-coding RNA is filed under the name Camponotus floridanus (Florida carpenter ant). Its description in RNAcentral is "28S ribosomal protein S5, mitochondrial-like, transcript variant X2". The record is from RNAcentral. Lineage: Eukaryota; Metazoa; Arthropoda; Insecta; Hymenoptera; Formicidae.